This 840-nucleotide long non-coding RNA is filed under the name Anas platyrhynchos (mallard). RNAcentral's name for it is "lncRNA (ENSAPLG00020006823.1)". The record is from RNAcentral. Lineage: Eukaryota; Metazoa; Chordata; Aves; Anseriformes; Anatidae.
ACUGAAAGUGAUGAUUGUGUGCAGGAUGAAGAAGAAAAGGUUCAUCAUUCCUGUCUCUUGGUUUUGAAAAAAAAUAACCUCUUGGGAAGCCAUAGGAAUGGCAAUCUAUGUCUAAUAUGGAUUUGAAACUUUAGGAGUCAUGAAGAAGUUAACUGCAGUGAUUUCUAGACUUUAUAAUAUACUCUCCUUUUAAAAGACUCAAGUUGAGAAACCAUUUGAGCCCCUUGUAGUGGACCGGUAAUAAAUAUGCUGCCUUCUUCCACAGACAUUUCAGAGACUAGUGGACAGUCAGAGGAUCACGAGACAUAUGUCAGAGUGAACAGGACGACAGGGUCAAAACCUGCAAACUCUCUACGAGAGGUGGAUGGUAUCCACAGUGCUCACAUCACUCCAAAUGUGUAUGCCAGCUCUCCUAAAAAAUUAAGAAGUCCAGAGAAGAUCAUAGCCUUGCUUCGGGAGCUAAGACAAAACCAUUGCAAAAAUUGCCAGAUACCUUCAGUUGAUCCCUCCAAUGCGAACCUGACAGGUGACUGCAACCUGCCCGUGAUCCAGGAGGAAACCCCUUGGCCUCCGCUCUCAAAGAUGAAGGAGACACUGGAGCAUUCAGAGCAUGGUGCUUCCUGGGCCAUGAAAGGGAGGGACCACUUGUCCGAAUGGGAUGAUGUAUUUUGGGGUCAAAUAGGAAAUCAGCAUGCAGGUGCUAUUCCCCAGGGAAUGAAACAGAAAAAUGUCAUUACGAAUAAUGCAUGGCUCUCUAGAGAUAAAACAGAUGGCUCAACCUCAGCUACUGCAGCAAAAAGCUAUUUGUCAGACAUGUUGUCAGCAAGUAAUAAAGGUUGA